GCCGUGGUGGCGGAAUUGGCAGACGCGCUUGCCUGAAAAGCAAGAAACCUUACGGGGUUUUACGGGUUCGAGUCCCGUCCACGGCG
Molecule: transfer RNA, 86 nt
Filed under: Candidatus Woesearchaeota archaeon
Lineage: Archaea; Nanobdellati; Candidatus Woesearchaeota
Rfam family: tRNA
About the family: Transfer RNA (tRNA) molecules are approximately 80 nucleotides in length. Their secondary structure includes four short double-helical elements and three loops (D, anti-codon, and T loops).
Source: Rfam by way of RNAcentral